This 6483-nucleotide long non-coding RNA is filed under the name Canis lupus familiaris (dog). RNAcentral's name for it is "lncRNA (ENSCAFG00845016300.1)". The record is from RNAcentral. Lineage: Eukaryota; Metazoa; Chordata; Mammalia; Carnivora; Canidae.
GGGUCAGGGUUGGGGAGUUUUGUUCAAAUAAAGGAAUAUUUAAUCAUAGAGAAAAGGACAUAAAGUUUAAUAUUUAAUACUGUCCUUUCUAAUUGGUGCUAUUUUCUCACAAACCAAGCUCCUACAUGUAAAUUUCUCACUAAUUUUUAUACUUCAAUCUUUAUCAGAAUUAAGGCAAAGAAUUUAUACUACCAUUUAAUCAUAUCCUAUUACAAGGGAGCUUUUUAUUAGCCCUCCCUAGGGGCAAGUGAGAAGGAACUGCAUUGUACCUGACACACCAAUCACCUCUAGAACAAUGACUGUCUCCUCACUUUGAAAAUUUCACUAUUCCAUCCAAGCUCUACAAGGUUUUCUAUCAGAUAUAAAUUUGCCCCAAAGCUAAAAGCAUCUCCAUCAGGCAAUCUCAGGACUGAUAACAAGAUCCACAGGAUCAAAAUCCUGUUUUGGUCAAAGAUGGUACGGCAGGAGUCAAAGGGGUCAGCUGAUGGAUGUCCCACUGCUCACAGACCCUGAUGCAGGGAGAGAGAACAGCAAACAGCAGGUGCCUAUACAUGUCACGGACGGCCCCUCUGGGGCUCUCUCCCUGGAACAUGCUGGCAGUGACAGAUAUCAAGAUAGAAGAGUCCCAGUUCUCAGGGAAAUCACAGCUCCAUCGGGCAAAAAAAAAUACUAUCCAAUGAUCUGUACAGGAAUAACUGAAAGAAGAUGAAAUUCAAUGAUAUGUGCGAAGUUACAUUUACAUUCAAGAUACAUAUUUCUUACAUACAAAGUCAGGAAGGACCUGGGUGGAAAAGAAGGAAAUGUAGAGACAGAAAACACUGGGCAUUCUGGAGAGUUCCAUGAGCCAGAGCUCCGACAGGAACUAAUGGGAGCAGUCCGACCUGGGAUCCUGUGACCCACCUCGGUGCAAAGUGUGGGAGCUUCUGGGAUACAGUGCAGGACAGUGUGGGUGUUUACACAAAGAGCAUGAGGCCAGGACCUGCUCACUAUCUUCACACGCUUCAAAGGCUCAGCAAAAGAGCUCUCACGGCUCCAAACCCUUGGGUAUCACUGGCCAGAACUAGAAUCAAGAGAAGUUGUGGAGAAAGAGAUUCCAACUUCCAAUGAGUGUUGAGUUGGAGGGACAAGGGGACUGAAAAGAAAAGGUUAUGCUUCUGUUUAGGGGUGUCUUCCCUUGCAAGCUGGAAGGCAUCUCUCUGGUCUGCGGCGGGAAUUCUGAGUACUGAGCUCCAGACCUUGGGUCCACAGAAAGGAUGAGGCUGCCCCACGUCAUGGGGGUGCUCCCUGCUUGGGGAUCAAGAAACCUGCUCCACAUACUGCACUUUACCAACUCUGAGUCCAGCAUUUCUAUUCACUGUCUCCAUUGCCCCACGCCACAAGAAACCUCUCAAGGCCCCUUUCCGUGAAAAUUCAGCUCACGUGUUAAUCUUUAAACUGCAUGACCAUCAUGCACCCUUGAAAACCAUUAAAAAUACAACCGAAAAGAGAAAACCAGAUUUUUUUAAAACGAAGCCAAAACUGGAUAACUUUCCCUAAAAGGCUGUAAUUAUAAAAAUGCACACACAGUCCAGAGUUCAAGAACCAAAAGACAUUUCUGGCAAAACUAGACACCCCUGAUAUAUAUCAUGAAUAAGGUAAAUCCCCAAAAAGAAUUUCCCCUUCCAUGUUCUUCUCCUGUGCUGUGGAGUGUCCCAAAUGUGCUCUGUGACGCUGGCUGUCAGUUCCCUCUGCUUCCCCUCACCGUGAGCACCACGCUAUGCCUGUGUCCCCACCUGGCACACACCUGCCUCCAGCGAUCACACCUGCCAGCCAGUCCCCGCCAGGAAGGAUGUUCAGCUCCAGGGCCAGGUGCUGGUGAAGUAAAGUCACGGGGGGGAGGGAUCUGCCUUGCUAGGCCCGCUUCCACUCCCCAGCCCCAGCAGUUCCACUGCUCCCUUCAACCCCAUCUGCUCUACACUCAGAAUCUUCUCCUCUCUGCACCACCUUACCCAGGCUGGAAACUCCAGGUAUGUAUCCUUUACCCAUAAACUUUGGUUGAACCUCUUCACACACAUCCCACAAUCAAUAGGUUAGCAGGAAGAAAACACUAAAAUUUGAGGAAGGCAACACAGUACCAGAAAAAGAACACAGUAAAGCUUCUGGAGUCAGACUGAGCCAGUUCUAGAUCCCAACAUGUCCACACUUCCUUGCGUCACGGCCUUUGGCAAAUUCAGCAUGUUAAUGUCUCUGAGCCUUGCGUUAUACGACUUCUUACCAAUAAAAUGAAGAGAAGGACAGUAUCCAUACAGGAGAGGAAGAUGGGAGGCACGAAUGACAUAAUGUACAUAAAAGGCUCAUCAGGGGCUCCACACAGAUGUGAAACACAGCCGCAGAACCUGGUCCCUCACCCUACACAGAGCACGUGCUCGGGAAACAGCAGUGACCAUGCCAAUAUGCCUGGUCCCGCAGAGCCAGAACACAACAGCCUCUCUUCCCACUCCCUGUUCUUGCCCUGUGCCCACCUACUACGCCUGCUAUCUAUCCACUCAGACUCACGGCUAAAAUCCUCUAACUUGUCUUUACUCCCAACAUUGGUCUAAAGCAAAGUAAGGAAGAGGGAGCCGAAGUGUUUCUAGUGUGCUGAAAUGGCCCUCAAGAGGGGAUUUCUGGCAACUAUUGAUCUGUGCCCCAUGGGAGCGGUCCUAUGCUCCAUCUCAAGGACCACCUGGCCCAGAAACUCUCCACGCCUGAUCACAGGCCUGCCCACAGCCCUUCACAAGUUCAUCUGAGAUGCUCAGGCUGGACUGAUCACAGGAUGAAUGUGGUGUGCUAAGGCCAGUACCAGGAUCCCUGGGAGCUAAGGACAGUAAACGGGGACGGCUAAUGAGCUCCCAGGCUCGCACGACACAUCUCAUUGUCCCGCAGGGUCCAUAAAGCCUGGAGUGGCGCUCCACACCUUCAGUUUCAACAAAUGCCUAAACCAACCUUUAGGGAAGCACUAACACAAUCUCACCUGGGCCAGUGUCUGAGAGGCUGUCUCCUUUCCAGUCCUCUCACACUUUUCAAGGCAUCUAAGAAUAAACUGGUAUCUACAGAAAUAUCAACAUUCAUUCUAUGCCUUUAUUACUCAGUAAAAGGCUGUAAUGUUAGCUGCACAUCCUACAAACAGAAAGAGACUGAGACAUGAUAGAAGAAUCUAACUAAAAUAUGCAUUGUAAGGUUCCACUAUCAAUUUUUUUCCAUAAUUCAUAUAAUGGAACCAAGGAAGAUUCUAAAAGAGAGUGCAUAUCAAUGCUAUUUUCUUGCAUUUUUUUUACACCUUAGUUUUUUUUUCUGAAUAUUUCACUGGACAAAAGUAUUUAUUUUAGCAUAGGCAGAAAGAUUAGCCAACUCAAUAGAUUUUAGAAGAAAAUGAAAACUAUCUGGAUUCUUACAUUUAAAGAUCAGACAGGUCCAACAUGUCCUACCUCUGAGAUUUUUCUUUAAGCUAAAAAUGAGAUUCUUAACAAAGUCCAAUUUAGGGAUUUUUUUGUUUUUUUAAAGCAAACAAGCCUUAUUUAGGUAAAAGUACUAACGGAUUUCAUGUAACUGAAUACUCUUAGCACAGUUAAAGAAAACAGAGUGGCAAACUCAAGUUAUCUUCUUUGCCCCAUUCCUUUCAAAAUAAUCUUUUUUAAUCCAAUGAGAAUAGAAAGCUCCAGGCAGUAUGUAAUCAUCAGUUUGGAAAUUCAGGCCACACAGACUGAAAAUAUCAGCAUGUAACUAGCUUUUUAUCUAGGUUAUUUCAAGAGGCUGCACCAGAAAACCAGGGACUAUACAGGCUUGACUACAACUAUAUUACAGUUAAUGGUUAUUUUAACAUUAAUAUACCUCCCAAAAUCAAGUGCAAAAUUCCAGAUUUUAAGAAGAUAUGUUUUAACACAUAUUACUACUUCUGAUUUACAUAAGUGCUUAUAUUAGAGCACAGAAAAAGUAGAAAGAAUAUAUUUUUAUUUUAAGGCGGUUAAAAAGGCAUUUAACCUAACAUUACAGAACUUAAAAUUAAGAUCCAGUACAGAGCAAGUGCUCUAACGUUCAGUGAAGCAGUUGUGGGGGGUUCUACUCAGGGAAUCUAGCUGCUGAAGAGGAUUUUCCCCUCAUCCUGGGACACCAGAGUCACUUGGGGGGGGGGUGGGGAUCUCGAGGGCCGCUGGCCAGGAGGGGGCUCUCUGCCUCUGACAAGAAUAACUUCACUCAUUCAAAACAAGAAUGCAAUCAAAAAGCCUUUUUCACCACCCUUCUGUGAUUAGGGAGAGAGAGGGUAGCACAAAGACCCCCUUCUGAGUUCAUGUAAAGAAGGGUAGGAUGCAUGCCAGGUCCUGAGUGUUGACAAAUCCUGAUUCACUGCUCAAGUCACACUUAGCUCACAUAUAAAAUGGGCAAUUCAACCACUCGAGCUGGGGGCUGGGGCGUGGCAGGGGGCGGAGGGAGGAUCUCAGAAUGUACUCUACGUCUGUUUAAAAACAGACCACUAUUGACAGGAGUUCUGACUCAGCAUCAUCUCUUCUGACUAUUCUGCUUGGCCAAUUGUCAAUGCCUUUAUGUGUCCAAUACUGAAUCAAAUAUCAUUUUAUCUAAGUUAGGAAUGAGCCACGAAACACUUAUCAUUGGGAGUCAUGACUAUCUUAACAAGACUCUUAGCCUCUGUAUACAGAAAUUACAAAACUGUGGUCACUAAGUGAGCAUAUAUUCUGGUUCUACAGGGAUAGUUCCAGUUGACACCUAUUGUUCCAAAAUAAUUAUCAGUAACACCCUUAUUCAGUCUCAGAAGCAUCUCUAUUUAGACCAUAAGGUCAACCUACCAAAUAAAAAAUGUCGAGCUAAGAAAGCAUCAACAUUUGAUGACAACACCUGUCCCCUUUUAAACAUCAAGCAGGACCAUGGGAUUUUAACCACACCACAGAGCACAAGGUGAUCACCUUAGGGUUUCUAAAGUUGAAUCUUAGCAAUAACAUUAGUCAAUAUGAAUAUUAUUCAUUUUCUCUAUACUUUUAAGUGGCAGCAUUGUUGUGCCGAAGUAUCACCUGUAAUGACCUACCUCCCUUUCGAUCUCUGGCAGCACAAGAAAGCCUUCGCUGUGUGGUCUUAGCACCACCACACAUACAACUCACUGCUCCUGUUGGCAAAUAUAGAGCAAUAAAGGACAGAUUAAAUCUCUGCCCUAAAAGCAGCAGUUUCAGGGAACAAUGGUUUAGAAAAAGUAGGGAAAUGAAGAAUUCCUUCAUGUACUAGGAAAAUCAAAGGGUAGGAGUGUUUGUAAAAAAUGAAAAUAAAAACAAGCCACACACAGUAAGAGGCAAUCUACAAUAUUACAUGUAUAUUAAAUACUAUAAACAGAAUGGAAAAAAGAAGACAACAUUGAUAAAAUCCUCACAGUGGGUUAGAAACAGAGCCAAGCCAUGGUACAGCCAGGGCUGAUUUGAGUUUUCACUUUUAAUCUGCAAUAAUGGGCCUGUGGAAACUCCAGGGAAAGACUUACAUUUACAUACAGAUGCAAAGCAGCUCCUCCUUCAUGCCGCCAAAAUACUCAAGAGGUAAUAAAGUGCAAUCAAGAGGAAGAAAAACUCCUACGUGCCCAACCCCAGUGACUUGAGUCAUAGGAGGGCUCUCAGUGGAGACAGGAGCAAUUCUGUUCUCCAGGGAGUGGCGGGUCCCAGCCAAGAGAGGGAAGCCAGUUAGUCCCGCAAUAUUCACCUUCUUUCUCUUCUUUUUUCCUAUCUCUUCCUCUCCUGCUCCAUUAGCUGUAUUCCACUUUUUAAUUUUCCUUUUGCUAGUAAACCAGAGGUAGUAGCAUGCUGAAAAAUGUCAGAAUCCUAGGAUGUUCAAAUCUCCAGGUUCUAGGCAGCAGCUCGUAAGGAAGGUGCAAUGCUAGUGUUUGCAUAUUUCAGGGCAGUCAAAUACCAAGAAUUAACAUGAAAUUCACACAAAUACCUGAAAUGCAUGGCAUUAAAAAGAUCUAUGUUUUUCAUAAUAAAAAUGUUUUUAUUCCAGUUACUAACAAAAAAAUUAAAAUGUAGUGACCACACUUUCCAUGGUAAGUACCGAGUAAUGUACAAAAUUAAGUCAGUAUAUCAUACAUAUAAAACUGAUAUAACAUUGUACGUCUACUUCAAUUAAAAAAUGACAUUUACCAAAAAAUUAAAAUGUGACCUUUAAACUUUGAGACCUUUGAACUUGUGAAGUAUAAGCCACUGAAAACAAAAUGUAAACAUGGCAAUUUAUUGAUAAAAGUUGUUUCAUCAUGCAAAUGAGUUCCAGAAUAAAUUAUCUGCCUCACAGAUCUCUCCAAUCUCAGGGCACAGUCAUGGUACAGAAAGUGGUACACAGAAACAAAGCACCCUGAAUGGGCUGGUUGUGCCUAUCUAAAAAUACUCUUAUGAAAACUAAACUUUUUUAAAAAGAUUUUAUUUUUAAAUAAUCUCUGCACUCAACGUGGGGCUCAGACUCACAACCCUGAAAUCAAAA